This is a long non-coding RNA of Oncorhynchus tshawytscha (Chinook salmon), 520 nucleotides long. Lineage: Eukaryota; Metazoa; Chordata; Actinopteri; Salmoniformes; Salmonidae. The record is from Ensembl.
CUUGAUGUUCAUUGGUGUGUGUACAUGUUUAUGUGUGUUGAAUGUGUACUGCUUGUAGGUUAUCUUGAUAGAGGGGUAGGUAAUGUUAGUACUUGAUGUUCAUUGGUGUGUGUACAUGUUUAUGUGUGUUGAAUGUGUACUGCUUGUAGGUUAUCUUGAUAGAGGGGUAGUUAAUGUUAGUACUUGAUGUUCAUUGGUGUGUGUACAUGUUUAUGUGUGUUGAAUGUGUACUGCUUGUAGGUUAUCUUGAUAGAGGGGUAGUUAAUGUUAGUACUUGAUGUUCAUUGGUGUGUGGGUGGUUUUGCCUGAGGACUGUACAGUGCUACUAUGUUACAUUCUCUGACCGUUGCUUGUUAAUUCCUCUUUGGAUUCACAACACCCCUUUAUGGUAGAAUGGAGUAGGAGGUGUAGUGAGAGAUGCUGUAACUUCAUGUUCUGACCCUGACAGUUUUGUACUACUGUAAAUUAUACAACGGGUGCUUCUAAUCCUGAAUGCUGAUUGGUUAAAUCCGCAUUCUAG